UACAGAGGGUGCGAGCGUUGUCCGGAAUCACUGGGCGUAAAGGGCGCGUAGGCGGCUUGGUAAGUAGGGGGUGAAAUCUCAUGGCUCAACUGUGAGGCUGCCUCCUAGACUGCUUGGCUCGAGCACAGUAGAGGCGAGUGGAAUUCCCGGUGUAGCGGUGGAAUGCGUAGAGAUCGGGAAGAACAUCGGUGGCGAAGGCGGCUCGCUGGGCUGUAGCUGACGCUGAUGCGCGAAAGCGUGGGGAGCAAACAGG
Molecule: ribosomal RNA, 253 nt
Filed under: uncultured bacterium
Lineage: Bacteria
Description: partial 16S ribosomal RNA
Rfam family: Bacterial small subunit ribosomal RNA
Source: RNAcentral